AGAUGUGAGGGCGAUCUGGCUGCGACAUCUGUCACCCCAUUGAUCGCCAGGGUUGAUUCGGCUGAUCUGGCUGGCUAGGCGGGUGUCCCCUUCCUCCCUCACCGCUCCAUGUGCGUCCCUCCCAAAGCUGCGCGCUCGGUCGAAGAGGACGACCAUCCCCGCUAGAGGAGGACCGGUCUUCGGUCAAGGGUAUACGAGUAGCUGCGCUCCCCUGCUAGAACCUCCAAACAAGCUUCUGUGUAUUUCAUCUAAACCUGCUUCCUGAAUCCCUUUGUGGUCCCUUCCAUUGACAGUUGUCUCCAAUG
This 305-nucleotide small nuclear RNA is filed under the name Oryctolagus cuniculus (rabbit). RNAcentral describes it as "7SK RNA". It matches the Rfam family "7SK RNA", at positions 1 to 249 of the family's 331-position model. From Rfam's summary of the family: 7SK was discovered as an abundant small nuclear RNA in the mid-70s but a possible function has only recently been suggested. Two independent studies have found that 7SK RNA binds the CDK9/cyclin T complex (known as elongation factor P-TEFb). The record is from Rfam by way of RNAcentral. Lineage: Eukaryota; Metazoa; Chordata; Mammalia; Lagomorpha; Leporidae.